AAAGGCCAGUGAGCGGGCAUUAACGGAGUCAAUGGACCAUAAAAAUGCCCCUGGUCCAUACGGUGUAGCAAGGGCUGCCCACCACACCAGGGAGUAGCACCUUAGACCAUGCCACUCAGCUACAGAAAUGACCUUGCCAUGCCAGGGACGAACACCUUACACUACACUACUCAGCAACAGGGCCAUACGGUGCAGAGAGGACCUGCCCACGCCGGGGAUUGUCACCUUACAGUAUGUUACACAAUUUCAGGUACUUUCUGGAUGUACUAUGAAAUUUCCCGCACUGAUACCUUCUUUGGUUCUUUGUUAGGGCCAUGAAAAGACAGCUGCAAGAUGACACAGGGCAAGAUGAUUUCCCAAUGUGUAAAGAUUGAACACCAACCUCCGAGAUGAAUCAGAAGAGUAGGGCCACUAGAAGCACCUGUAUGGU
Ixodes scapularis (black-legged tick) is the source of this 430-nucleotide long non-coding RNA. RefSeq lists it as uncharacterized. The transcript is spliced from 4 exons. The record is from RefSeq and is a predicted model, not a curated record. Lineage: Eukaryota; Metazoa; Arthropoda; Arachnida; Ixodida; Ixodidae.